Molecule: non-coding RNA, 73 nt
Organism: Podarcis lilfordi (Lilford's wall lizard)
Lineage: Eukaryota; Metazoa; Chordata; Lepidosauria; Squamata; Lacertidae
Source: the annotation of a GenBank genome assembly
GCUGAGAUAGCUCGGUCGGUAGAACAUGAGACUCUUAAUCUCAGGGUUGUGGGAUUGAGGCCCACAUUGAGCA